GAUUACCCAGCGAUUCCACUAGUGCCAGACAUCUGUUCAGCCGACACACCUGUUAACACAUCACCUCUUCAAGGACUCUGUAAUUUCUGUGAACUGACCAUAACGAUUGUGUAACACAAACAAGGUUUUCCUGUAGCCCCAGCUGGCAUGGAACUCGCUAGACAGACCAGGCUGGAAUGGAUCUCACUUGACUUGCUUCUGCCUCUCAAGUAAUGGGAAAAAAGGAGGGAUACACACUCCAAAGUCGGAGCCUAAGACUUGGUCUUGAUUCUUCCACUUGCCUCGACGACACCUUGUCCAAGCUCAAGUCAUUUAAUAUGCUUUCUGUUCUCUGUUUGCUUACCUAUGAUGUGGGGCUCAGCCCUACCCUCCUAAAGAACUUAAUGAUGAUUAAAAGGACAGGCAAACAAA
Nannospalax galili (Upper Galilee mountains blind mole rat) is the source of this 411-nucleotide long non-coding RNA. RefSeq lists it as uncharacterized. The record is from RefSeq and is a predicted model, not a curated record. The transcript has 3 exons. Lineage: Eukaryota; Metazoa; Chordata; Mammalia; Rodentia; Spalacidae.